RNAcentral lists this ribosomal RNA (263 nucleotides) under uncultured archaeon. RNAcentral's name for it is "partial 16S ribosomal RNA". It matches the Rfam family "Archaeal small subunit ribosomal RNA", at positions 748 to 1008 of the family's 1478-position model. The record is from RNAcentral.
CAGCCGUAAACUAUGCGCGUUAGGUGUACUGGUGACCACGAGUCACCGGGGUGCCGAAGGGAAACCGUGAAACGUGCCGCCUGGGAAGUACGGUCGCAAGGCUGAAACUUAAAGGAAUUGGCGGGGGAGGCACCACAACGGGUGGAGCCUGCGGUUUAAUUUGGACUCAACGCCGGAAAUCUCACCGGAUAGGACAGACAUAUGAUAGUCGGGCUGAAGACUCUACUUGAUGAUCUGAGAGGUGGUGCAUGGCGUCAGUGACU